UACAGAGGGUGCAAACGUUGCUCGGAAUUAUUGGGCGUAAAGCGCGUGUAGGCGGUCUGUUAGGCCGACCGUGAAAUCCCAUGGCUCAACCAUGGAAGGGCGGUCGGAACCGGCAGACUUGAGUCCUGACGAGGAUGGCGGAAUUCCCAGUGUAGAGGUGAAAUUCGUAGAUAUUGGGAGGAACACCGGUGGCGAAGGCGGCCAUCUGGGAAGCGACUGACGCUGAGACGCGAAAGCGUGGGUAGCAAACAGG
This 253-nucleotide ribosomal RNA is filed under the name uncultured bacterium. Its description in RNAcentral is "partial 16S ribosomal RNA". It matches the Rfam family "Bacterial small subunit ribosomal RNA", at positions 524 to 776 of the family's 1533-position model. The record is from RNAcentral.